UCCGAUUUGUCACCGGCAGUCUCCCUAGAGUCCCCGCCUCUACGCGCUGGCAACAUGGAACGAGGGUUGCGCUCGUUGCGGGACUUAACCCAACAUCUCACGACGCGAGCUGACGACAACCAUGCACCACCUGUGAACCGGCCCCAAAGGGGAAGGACUGUUUCCAGCCCGGUCCGGCCCAUGUCAAGCCUUGGUAAGGUUCUUCGCGUUGCAUCGAAUUAAUCCGCAUGCUCCGCCGCUUGUGCGGGCCCCCGUCAAUUCCUUUGAGUUUAAUCUUGCGACCGUACUCCCCAGGCGGCACAUUUAACGCGUUAGCUUCGCCACAAAAGGGGUCGAUUCCUUUUACAGCAAAUGUGCACCGUUUACGGCUAGGACUAC
This 378-nucleotide unclassified non-coding RNA is filed under the name uncultured bacterium. RNAcentral's name for it is "contains 16S-23S intergenic spacer region". The record is from RNAcentral.